CUACGGGUGGCAGCAGUGGGGAAUAUUGGACAAUGGGCGAAAGCCUGAUCCAGCCAUGCCGCGUGUGUGAAGAAGGCCUUCGGGUUGUAAAGCACUUUCAGUGGGGAAGAAAGCCUUGGGGCUAAUACCCUCGAGGAAGGACAUCACCCACAGAAGAAGCACCGGCUAACUCCGUGCCAGCAGCCGCGGUAAUACGGAGGGUGCGAGCGUUAAUCGGAAUUACUGGGCGUAAAGCGCGCGUAGGCGGUCUGAUAAGCCGGUUGUGAAAGCCCCGGGCUCAACCUGGGAACGGCAUCCGGAACUGUCAGGCUAGAGUGCAGGAGAGGAAGGUAGAAUUCCCGGUGUAGCGGUGAAAUGCGUAGAGAUCGGGAGGAAUACCAGUGGCGAAGGCGGCCUUCUGGACUGAAACUGACGCUGAGGUGCGAAAGCGUGGGUAGCAAACAGGAUUAGAUACCCCGGUAGUC
RNAcentral lists this ribosomal RNA (464 nucleotides) under Vreelandella stevensii. Its description in RNAcentral is "partial 16S ribosomal RNA". It matches the Rfam family "Bacterial small subunit ribosomal RNA", at positions 339 to 795 of the family's 1533-position model. Lineage: Bacteria; Pseudomonadati; Pseudomonadota; Gammaproteobacteria; Oceanospirillales; Halomonadaceae. The record is from RNAcentral.